UCUUGACUAUUUUGUUCACUGUAUGCGUAUGUAGGAUUUAAAGGACAGCGGUUUGUAAGUUGCGACAACAGUAUAGUGAGGCAUGAAAGAUACGUUCGUUUGGACGCUUAGCUAUUUGAAGAGACUGUAUACAUACAUAUGUAUAUUUAUACUGUAUACAGCUCGCUAUUUUAUGUAUCUGCACCACAAACCAAAACAAUAUGGGAACCAUCAGUUCAGACUAGUCUUAUGUUUGUGGUGCAAACAAUAAAGUUCUUAAAGGAUACCAAGUAAGCGUCGUGGUGUGUGAAGGCAGGAGACGAAGCAUUCGAUGUCCUACUAAUCAUGUCAUCUCUAUUCACACUGCUUACUACGGGAGGACAGAUUCUUCCACAUGCCGUCGGCCAAACACUAACAUACAAAGCACAAGUUGCGCCUCUACGUCAUCAAAUGAGAUAAUUAAAGACGCUUGCCAAGGACAAAACGGUUGCAGAUUAGAUGCUCGGAAUUCUAUAUUCGGAGAUCCUUGUCGUGGAACGCCCAAGUAUAUGUCGUAUACUUGUAUCUAUCCAACUUGUUCCAAUCCUAUUCCAGCCGUUCGAGUCAUUUGUGAACGGCAACGUCGCAUCAUUAACUGUGGAACUGGGAAACGUAUUGGAGUUUUGACUGGCUUUUAUGGAAGAACAAAUAAACUCACGUGUCCGUCUCGUGCCAUCCGUUCAUCGAGAUGCAAAUCUAGAAGUUCGUUUCGACGAAUCCACAAUACAUGCCAUGGCAAACAACGAUGUGCAAUUACAGCAACCAAUACUGUAUUUGGUAACCCAUGUAACGGAACAUACAAAUACAUUAAGAUGUCCUAUGUUUGCUAUUUUCCAUAGAAACAUAUCGUGGUAGUUAUUACUAUACGGGGUAAGGUGGAUACCGUUAGUACAUAAUACAAAAUAUCGCAUGUUUCCUAAUCGUGUUUUUUUAACAAUUAACAACUCUCUUUUAGAGUCGUGAGAAUACGAUUAUAUA
Molecule: non-coding RNA, 996 nt
Organism: Ciona intestinalis (vase tunicate)
Lineage: Eukaryota; Metazoa; Chordata; Ascidiacea; Phlebobranchia; Cionidae
Source: RefSeq, a predicted model, not a curated record